AUGAAACUUCGGUCGAGUGAGAGUAUAGAGAGCGGCGGACGGGUGAGUAACGCGUAGGCAACCUGCCCCAUACAGAGGGAUAGCCUCGGGAAACCGGGAUUAAAACCUCAUAACGCCAAGAGUUCACAUGGUCAAAUGGCCAAAGAUUUAUCGGUAUGGGAUGGGCCCGCGUCUGAUUAGCUAGUUGGUGGGGUAACGGCCUACCAAGGCAACGAUCAGUAGCCGACCUGAGAGGGUAAUCGGCCACAUUGGAACUGAGACACGGUCCAAACUCCUACGGGAGGCAGCAGUGGGGAAUAUUGCACAAUGGGCGAAAGCCUGAUGCAGCAACGCCGCGUGAGCGAUGAAGGCCUUUGGGUCGUAAAGCUCUGUCCUUGGAAGAAGAAGUGACGGUACCUUAGGAGGAAGCCCCGGCUAACUACGUGCCAGCAGCCGCGGUAAUACGUAGGGGGCAAGCGUUAUCCGGAAUCACUGGGCGUAAAGGGUGCGUAGGCGGCUGAUCAAGCCAGGGGUGAAAGGCAAUAGCUUAACUAUUGUGAGCCUUUGGAACUGGUCAGCUUGAGUGCAGGAGAGGAAAGCGGAAUUCCUAGUGUAGCGGUGAAAUGCGUAGAUAUUAGGAGGAACACCAGUGGCGAAGGCGGCUUUCUGGACUGUAACUGACGCUGAGUCACGAAAGCGUGGGUAGCAAACAGGAUUAGAUACCCUGGUAGUCCACGCUGUAAACGAUGAGUGCUAGGUGUUGGGUAGCGAUAUUCAGUGCCGAAGUUAACACAAUAAGCACUCCGCCUGGGGAGUACGGUCGCAAGACUGAAACUCAAAGGAAUUGACGGGGACCCGCACAAGCAGCGGAGCAUGUGGUUUAAUUCGAAGCAACGCGAAGAACCUUACCAAGGUUUGACAUCCCCUUGACAGAUGCAGAGAUGUGUCCUCCCCUUCGGGGGCAAGGGAGACAGGUGGUGCAUGGUUGUCGUCAGCUCGUGUCGUGAGAUGUUGGGUUAAGUCCCGCAACGAGCGCAACCCCUACAGCUAGUUGCCAGCACAUAAUGGUGGGAACUCUAGCAGAACUGCCGUUGACAAAACGGAGGAAGGUGGGGAUGACGUCAAAUCAUCAUGCCCCUUAUGUCUUGGGCUACACACGUGCUACAAUGGUCGGUACAACGGGCAGCGAAAGAGUGAUCUGGAGCAAAUCCCAAUAAACCGAUCCCAGUUCGGAUUGUAGGCUGCAACUCGCCUACAUGAAGUCGGAAUCGCUAGUAAUCGCGAAUCAGAACGUCGCGGUGAAUGCGUUCCCGGGUCU
Molecule: ribosomal RNA, 1297 nt
Filed under: uncultured bacterium
Lineage: Bacteria
Description: partial 16S ribosomal RNA
Rfam family: Bacterial small subunit ribosomal RNA
Source: RNAcentral